CAUUAUUGAAUUAAAAUGAGUGGCAUUUUUAAGGCUGUCGCUGGCUUAAAUAUGUAUUAAUGGUGUCCAUUCAACGAUCUGAAGCGUUUCGUCUAUGGCGUUGUGCAAAUUCGGGUUGAUGGAGCAAGGUAGCUGGUCUUCAGCUGCUCACCAGAAUAAGCCACAACAUUGUUUGGCGUCGCCAUAUUCCUAUACCUGCUGUACCUGCUACUAUGUGGCAUUGACGGUUUGGUUAAACCAUGGCGAAUACAUUUCGAGCAUGUGCACGUCUUUUGCUGCUUAUUUCAAGUUUCUCUUUUCCUCCUGUGCACUGUUUGUAGACACUUGGGAAUAUCUGGGUGUCUAUGCAUUUUUCAUAUACACGUUUGUAUGUUUAUAGAAUGGGAUUGUAGGCAUAUAUAUAAUAAGCCUUUAAAUGAUAAUGUACAACUUUCAACAACGGAUCUCUUGGCUCUCGCAUCGAUGAAGAACGCAGCGAAAUGCGAUAAGUAAUGUGAAUUGCAGAAUUCAGUGAAUCAUCGAAUCUUUGAACGCAUCUUGCGCUCCUUGGUAUUCCGAGGAGCAUGCUUGUUUGAGUGUCAUUAAAGUACCUCAAGAAAGACCCCUUACUGUAGGGGAUUUUUUGGACUUGGGAGUUUGCUGGUCACAAAGUGAUAGGCUCUUCUGAAAAGUAUUAGUUUGCAGCACAUUGCAUUGUAUUGGUGUGAUAAGGUUAUCUAUGCCAGGAAAUGCAUUGUGGUUUUGUAUGCUAUCUAACUGUCCAUUGUUGGACAAGAUAAUAAUGACCUUGACCUCAAAUCAAGUAGGAUUACCCGCUGAACUUAAGCAUAUCAAUAAGCGGAGGAAAAGAAACUAACAAGGAUUCCCUUAGUAACUGCGAGUGAAGAGGGAAAAGCUCAAAUUUAAAAUCUGAUGGUGUUUCACUGUCCGAGUUGUAACCUAGAGAAGUGUAACCCGUGCUGGACCGUGUACAAGUCUCCUGGAAUGGAGCAUCACAGAGGGUGAGAAUCCCGUCUUUGACAUGGACUACCAGUGCAUUGUGGUUGUGCUCUCAACGAGUCGAGUUGUUUGGGAAUGCAGCUCUAAAUGGGUGGUAAAUUCCAUCUAAAGCUAAAUAUUGGCGAGAGACCGAUAGCGAACAAGUACCGUGAGGGAAAGAUGAAAAGAACUUUGGAAAGAGAGUUAAACAGUAUGUGAAAUUGUUGAAAGGGAAACGUUUGAAGUCAGUCACGUUGACUGGGGAUCAACCUUAUAGUUUUGUAGGGUGUACUUCCUAGUUGAUGGGGUCAACAUGAGUUUUGACUGCCAGAAAAAGAUAAAGGGAAUGUGGCACCUUUGGGUGUGUUAUAGCUCUUUAUCGUAUGUGGUGGUUGGGACUGAGGAAAGCAGUGUGCCGAAAGGCCGGGUUCGAC
This 1412-nucleotide ribosomal RNA is filed under the name uncultured Amanita. Its description in RNAcentral is "eukaryotic LSU rRNA". The stretch from base 789 to 1412 matches the Rfam family "Eukaryotic large subunit ribosomal RNA", at positions 1 to 621 of the family's 3401-position model. The record is from RNAcentral. Lineage: Eukaryota; Fungi; Basidiomycota; Agaricomycetes; Agaricales; Amanitaceae.